UGGGGAAUAUUGGACAAUGGGCGAAAGCCUGACCCAGCCAUGCCGCGUGUGUGAAGAAGGUCUUCGGAUUGUAAUGCACUUUAAGAUGGGAGGAAGGGCAGUAAGCGAAUACCUUGCUGUUUUGACGUUACCGACAGAAUAAGCACCGGCUAACUCUGUGCCAGCAGCCGCGGUAAUACAGAGGGUGCAAGCGUUAAUCGGAAUUACUGGGCGUAAAGCGCGCGUAGGUGGUUCAUUAAGUUGAAUGUGAAAGCCCCGGGCUCAACCUGGGAACUGCAUCCAAAACUGGCGAGCUAGAGUAGGGCAGAGGGUGGUGGAAUUUCCUGUGUAGCGGUGAAAUGCGUAGAUAUAGGAAGGAACACCAGUGGCGAAGGCGACCACCUGGGCUCAUACUGACACUGAGGUGCGAAGGCGUAGGGAGCAAACAGG
This 429-nucleotide ribosomal RNA is filed under the name Pseudomonadota bacterium. RNAcentral describes it as "Proteobacteria bacterium partial 16S ribosomal RNA". It matches the Rfam family "Bacterial small subunit ribosomal RNA", at positions 355 to 776 of the family's 1533-position model. The record is from RNAcentral. Lineage: Bacteria; Pseudomonadati; Pseudomonadota.